RNAcentral lists this small RNA (80 nucleotides) under Flavobacterium sp. TAB 87. RNAcentral's name for it is "Flavo-1 RNA". It matches the Rfam family "Flavo-1 RNA". The record is from Rfam by way of RNAcentral. Lineage: Bacteria; Pseudomonadati; Bacteroidota; Flavobacteriia; Flavobacteriales; Flavobacteriaceae.
UUUUAGCCCUGAUGGAAGCGGCAUCCUUUUGUCCCGAUUCUUUUUCGGGAUAAAAGAUACAGUGGACAGCAGGAUUAGCU